GCGUAUAUUCCAUAUUUCAUGUCAUUUUGAUUGGCUCCUGCGCUCCGAUGUGCGCGGUUGAAGCCGACUCGAAAUAUGAGCAUGAAGUAAUGAGUACACGGUAUGUGUCUGAGCGACUGUUCACUUCCUGUUAGCGGGUACCUCAGUACACAUGCACAUCAUACUCGAGAUCCUUUCAGGUUUUUCAGAGCUUCCAACGGUGCGCUUUAUAAAAGGUUUGAGUCGGGUUUUCAGAAAGGACGAUUUAAAGGAUGUGGACUGGCGUUCUUGAUCAGCUUUAGCCUCACAGUGUAAUACUGUACUCCGAUGCCAGGUAACGGGUUCUCAAGCAUUUUGCAUCCAGUGAUUCCUUCCAAAUCAAAAUUUCCACUGAUCGUCCAAAUGAUCCAUGUGCAGAUUUCAUUUUAAGAACAAUACAUGCUCCAAAUGAUUAUUUUAUUCCUUGAUUAGAGCUAAGGUUGUUGGAAUUGUGCCUAACUAAAGACAUGGCCUGUAGGAAUAUCUGGAGAAGCUUCCUCUCCGUGUACAACCCCGCUCGGGUGCUGGAUCAUCUCCAGAGUCUUCACAGGAAUGACCUAGUCAAAGGGCUUCAGCAAAAAGCAGGGCAUGACAACAAACACCUACACAGGUACUAAAACUAAAGUUUAGUAGCGUCAGAUCAACAUCAGAAUUGACAAGAGACUCUGUUUCCCUACAAAGAACACACCUACAGAUAUGGCCACCAUGGACCACACUUCCCAACACCCACCGACUUUAUCACGUUCCACACUCACAUUAUGGGUCACAACUGGGCCACAGCAGCUACAACCACUUUGUGGACUUGUUUCAGCGUGUCUUUGAUCAUCCACCUGAAAGGAUAUCAGAGAACAACUCCUCACAAGGGUCAAGAGGAAUGGCUGAGUAUGCGCUGGUAGCAGGUGGAAUGAACCUGCCCUCAGAGCCUCUUUCUAUUAGGGUCUUCACCCGGAAAUCCUCUCGGAAAUGGCCUUCUGAGAUGACAAGGUGACUCUCAACUCUCAGAUUGAUCCCAAAAUACAUCCGGAUCAUCUGUCUCGGUAACCGGCAAACACCCAUCGGAAACUGGUCGUGAUCAGCGACUCUGAAUCAUGCAACAAUACCAUCACUGACCAAUUCUGGAAGUCACUACACCUCAUUCCCCUGCCCAGUUUACCCACAGCGACACCACAGCAGAACUGCUCUUCAACCCUGUGUUCAGUAUCCCAGAAGACAUUGCAGUGACAGAGGCACACAAUUCACAUCAAUAGUCUGGUCAAACUUUAAGGGAAAAUUAGGAGAGACAGUAAGCCUAACUUCAGGUUAUCAACCACGAGCGAAUGGGCAAGUCGAAAGAACCAACCAGGAGAUCGGGCGUUCCUCAGAACCUUCUGUACCGAGAACCAGGAGCAUGAUUGGGCCCAGUUUCUUCCAUGGGCAGAGUAUGCCCAGAAUUCGCUACGCCGCUCUGUGACACAAUUAACCCCUUUCCAGUGUAUGCUCGGUUACCGACCCCUCUGUUCCCCUGGAACGCCACAGAACUCCGCAGAUUCACCAGAAACGGACUAAUGCUUUAAAAUGGAGCGAACGGGUUUGUGAAGGCACGCACCGAUGACUAGAACAAGUGUCCCAAGUAAAUAAGAAGAAUGCAGACCAACACCGACGGGAAACAUCACAAUAUCACCACGGAGACCGAGUUUGGUUGGCCACCAAGGACUUCAGAAGCGUGG
This is a long non-coding RNA of Ictalurus punctatus (channel catfish), 1724 nucleotides long. RefSeq lists it as uncharacterized. Lineage: Eukaryota; Metazoa; Chordata; Actinopteri; Siluriformes; Ictaluridae. The transcript has 2 exons. The record is from RefSeq and is a predicted model, not a curated record.